UUGUGAUGAUGAUGAUGAUGACGAUAGCGAUGGUGAUGGUGGUGGUGAUGAAGGUGAUGUGAAAAGAAAGAUGGUGAUUUCACUAACAUCAUCAUCAUGCCUGUCCCCAUCAUCAUCCCUA
RNAcentral lists this microRNA precursor (121 nucleotides) under Marmota monax (woodchuck). Lineage: Eukaryota; Metazoa; Chordata; Mammalia; Rodentia; Sciuridae. The record is from RNAcentral.